Molecule: ribosomal RNA, 376 nt
Filed under: Dendrophryniscus brevipollicatus
Lineage: Eukaryota; Metazoa; Chordata; Amphibia; Anura; Bufonidae
Description: partial 12S ribosomal RNA
Source: RNAcentral
GAAGUCAAUUAUUACUUAAUUUACACAUGCAAGUCUCCGCCCCCCUGUGAAAACGCCCUUAAACCCCCUUAUGGGGCAAGGAGCUGGUAUCAGGCACAACAACUCUGCCCAAGACACCUAGCUUUGCCACACCCACAAGGGAAUUCAGCAGUGAUUAACAUUGAAUAUUAGCGAAAGCUUGAUUCAGUUAAAGUAUGUAGAGCCGGCUAAUCUGGUGCCAGCCGCCGCGGUUACACCAUGAGGCCCAAAUUGACCCUCUAUCGGCGUAAAGCGUGAUUAAAGCUACCAACAAUUAGAGUCAAAUUAAAACUAAGCUGUGACACGCUUGUAAUCAAGAAGCCCAAACACGAAAGUUACCCUAAUUAAAUCAACUUGA